AGGUUAAGCUACAAAGAGCACACGGAGGAUGCCUAGGCGCCAGGAGCCGACGAAGGACGUGGCGAACAACGAUAAGGCCUCGGGGAGCUGUAAGCAAGCUUUGAUCCGGGGAUGUCCGAAUGGGGAAACCCGGCUGUCUUCAUCGACAGUCACUACUCACUGAAUUCAUAGGUGAGUGAGAGGCAGACCAGGGGAACUGAAACAUCUAAGUACCCUGAGGAAGAGAAAACAAUAGUGAUUCCGUCAGUAGCGGCGAGCGAACGCGGAUUAGCCCAAACCAAGGAGCUUGCUCCUUGGGGUUGUGGGACGUCUCACAUGGAGUUACAAAGGAACCGGUUAGAUGAAGAGGUCUGGAAAGGCCCGCCAGAGAAGGUAAAAGCCCUGUAGUUCAAAACCUGUUCCCUCCGAGACGGAUCCCGAGUAGUGCGGGGCACGUGAAACCCCGUAUGAAUCCGGCAGGACCAUCUGCCAAGGCUAAAUACUCCCUGGCGACCGAUAGUGAAGCAGUACCGUGAGGGAAAGGUGAAAAGCACCCCGGAAGGGGAGUGAAAUAGAUCCUGAAACCGUGUGCUUACAAGAAGUCAGAGCCC
Molecule: ribosomal RNA, 590 nt
Filed under: Paenibacillus polymyxa
Lineage: Bacteria; Bacillati; Bacillota; Bacilli; Caryophanales; Paenibacillaceae
Description: bacterial LSU rRNA
Rfam family: Bacterial large subunit ribosomal RNA
Source: RNAcentral